Cyanistes caeruleus (blue tit) is the source of this 2486-nucleotide long non-coding RNA. RefSeq lists it as uncharacterized. The record is from RefSeq and is a predicted model, not a curated record. Lineage: Eukaryota; Metazoa; Chordata; Aves; Passeriformes; Paridae.
AACUUGGGCAUUUAGGCCAAACCUGUUUUACUGCUAUUCAAAGUAGUUGCUUUCCAGUGUUCAUGCAUAUGGCCAACUUCCCUUUCAUUCAGUAAAGUACUGUGUAGCAAUUAAAAAUAUUACAACAUCUUUAGGCUUUUUCUUGGUCUCUACAUAUUAUUCCUCUGUGCAAAGGUCUCUGUAAUGUCUUUAGGGAUUUCUGGAGAUUUUUUUUUUUAUAGGUCUAUAGUCUAAGCUGCCAUAUGAAUCUUUUAUUUUAUAUAUAAACACCACUAUUUACCAUAAAGAGCUCAACAACUAAAGUAGUACUUGCUGCAUGCCCUUGAGAGGCAAUCUUUGCUGCUUGGCUCAGUUCUUCAGAGCACACGUGUUCUUCCUUCUUUGCAAUGUUUUUGUGUCCAUAAAGGGCAAGAAAGGAUGUGUUUAUUUUUACCCAUUUAGAAAGGGAUAAAGCUUAGAUCAGAUCUGGGACUCAAGUUCAGCACUUGAGUAGCAACACUUACAAAGGCGGAUCGAGACAAGUGAAAUUGGAUUUUGUUAUCUUGUGUUAAAGGCUCUGGCAUGCUCAUAUCUUUAAAGCAUUAAAAGCUAAAUGUCCUCAGAUUCAAUAUCCUUUAGGCAGGAGAAAUGCUAAUGUGAAUGUUAGCUACAAGCCUAUUUUCCUAUGAAACUACAUUAACUUGUUGAAAAUGUUUUUCCAACACCUUAUAACUAUUAAUACCUUGACUAAGAAAUUUGUUUGGAGAUAUUACUGCACAUUCAUGUUGCAUUUUUAAUAACCCUGCCGAGGAAAGACAAUAUUGGCUGGUUUAUACAGACUCAAGUGAGUCGAUAAGUGGGUAACAGAUGCAUGUGACAUGUUGGAAAACCACUUACAGAACAAUAGCCAAAGGUCACUCCUUGUCAUAUCUGCAGCGUGUGGCAGAACUGCAGAGCCUAAACUCCCUCUCCUGCUCUUCCAGACAGGAGAAAUGUGAACUCCUCUUCAUAGGGCCAUGCAUAAAUGGAUUGCCUUCAGAAGAGGAAGACUUGGUGGCAGGAGCUGGUUACUAUGGCUAUAUGCAUUGCUCACUCUAAAUGGAGGAAUCAAGCCAGUAAUCACUGUAUACAUUAGCUAUAUUUGUAUAUGAGGGAAGCUCAUUGCCAGCAGCUGUGUGAAGGUGUCAUGAUGAAAAUCCAACUUGGCUCAUGCCAGUCAAGGCUUGGUGUCUUUCAGGCCUUUAAAUCGGUGCAGACUGAAAGCAGCAAAAUCUACACACGGUAGGAUCAGUGCAUUGUCCUCCUGAAGCCUUUGUUUUGCUCUACAGAAAGGUUUCUUCUUUUCUGUGCCCCUAGUGAUCACAGACCAGCCCAGGUAGGAAGGGACCCGGAAAGAUCAUCUGGUCCACCCUUUCAUGGGAAAGGGAGCCUAGGUGGGAUUGUAUUCCUCCUGCUCCAAUCACAUCCUACAACUUUCCAGCAAUGGGCUUUCUCCUCUGUCCCUGGAGAGGUUGUUCCACUGGGGUGGAAAUGCCAUGUCAUGAUGCUGGCUUGGAAAUUAUGGAGGUGCUAGCAAGCCUGGGCUCUGGGGUACAGAAUAUGGCAAAAACAACUCCUGUGUUGGCUUCAUAAUCCAGCCUGCAGCCAGCUACUGACUUGUUGGGCUGUCAUCAGAGCCACUUCCCCAUCGUCAAAUGACAUAAGAAAUCAUCAGUGAAGACAAAAGUAGCUGUGGGUGGUGAGACAUCUAUAGCACAACCACAGCCUUAUUUUGGUUGCUUACAAAUUUAAAGUCCUUUGCCUUUCCUUUUUGAAGCUAUCCACUGAGGCUAGAGUUCUGUGGGGUACCUAACAAAUUUUGUUGCAGGGUGGCUGUUGGUGGCUGUCAGAGGGGGCCAUUGGUUUCCCCCUUUUUCCAGGGCUGCAGGAACAGGUAAAAUUCCUACUUUUAAAUCCAAGUGAGUGUGACAGAAAUGACCCCUGUGGUGAGAAGCCUGUGUCCCCAUGGAGAAGGGUGGGACUUGCUCCGAGGGCACCAUCACAUUCUUACAGCCCUAUUGCCUGGCAUUUCUCCUGGUCCAACAGCAUGAGCAUGAACACACUGCCUGGUCCUUCUUUGAAGGAGUUAUUAUUAAGAUCUCACUCUCCUCUCUAGAAGCAAGGCACAGCCACUAGACCUGCAGAAAGGCAUCUGGAAAGGAUUGGCUGCUGCUGGGGAUCCAGUGUGACUCUGAAGAAAGUUGUGCCUGUAGCAUCACUGGAAAUCUCAGCUGCUGCUCACUGUUGUGAUAGAAUUGUUUGUCCUCCUCAAAGGCAGUGCCUGGCUGCUCUCAGGGAUGGUGUCUCCAUGUGUUUUGGUCUAGAACAUAAAUGCUGAAAAACUCGAGCAGCCUCCUUCCUGCAGUGUUUUCCUGCUAUUCAGCAUCAUCCCAAUCACAUUGGGUUUAUUCCGUCAGCACUUGCAAAGUUAAUAAAGUAUCCCCAUGACAAUUGUUUCACCAAUUAAA